GUGGGUGGGGCAGACCUGAGCUAUCAGGCCCCAGGGAGAACUCCAAUGGCAUCUGUGUCAGCACGCCCACACCAGGCCACAACAACGGCUGCCGCCAAUGUCCCAGUCCCUGGAGAGGUCUCACCGAGAUGCACUCAGGGCCUAUCAGGAAUUGGAACCCCUUGUCUACUUCAGGCCAGUUGAGACCACCAACCCAUCAAUUGGUCCCAUGCAGAUAUAUGUCUGAUAAGUGACUUUUUGACAUCAAGAGGUUAAAACUCCACCCUCAGAGCAUUCUAACGCCACCAUUCUGUGAACAUGCCUCCUACAAAGAGGCAUGAAGCCUGACCACGCUUGCACAGAUCUUCAGUAACCUCAUCUCUCCUCACCUCCAAUCAUUUCGGACCACCUUGCCCCUGCCCCAUAAAUAUCCCUGAGUCCUUAUUUUCGGGGAAGUUGAUUUGAGAUUCAUUCUCCCAUUUCCUCACUUGGCUGCCUUGUGAUUAAUAAACCUCUCUCUUUCUGCAA
This is a long non-coding RNA of Diceros bicornis minor, 507 nucleotides long. RefSeq lists it as uncharacterized. The transcript has 2 exons. NCBI's taxonomy places the organism in Eukaryota, Metazoa, Chordata, Mammalia, Perissodactyla, Rhinocerotidae. The record is from RefSeq and is a predicted model, not a curated record.